AAGCGAGGGGCACCUCCAGGACUGUCUAACCUGAGAAUGGUGAAACUUAAGGCUCAAUCUCAGGUUCGUCAGCCCAUGAGAUGCCUUCUCCAG
This 93-nucleotide microRNA precursor is filed under the name Mesitornis unicolor (brown roatelo). RNAcentral describes it as "mir-1388 microRNA precursor family". It matches the Rfam family "mir-1388 microRNA precursor family". Lineage: Eukaryota; Metazoa; Chordata; Aves; Mesitornithiformes; Mesitornithidae. The record is from Rfam by way of RNAcentral.